UAUCAAGGUGCUGAGCGGAGCGCCACGACAUAACCUGAGGAGCAGACCAACCACGACCCCGCUGUUCUUCCAUCGAGUGCCGCGUUAGCUGGACUUUGCUGCUGGGGAAGCACGCAACACACCCGGAGGCGGAGACUGCAGAGCGAGGAAUACACUUUAUGCACACGCACGGAGCUAAGAGAGACGGGGGCGUUGCAACUCCCUUGCUACAGAACAUCAAAUGAGGAGCAGGGAAGUAAGGUCCGUCUUCACUCGGUGGUUUAAAUGAAAAGCCGGCGUCCUGGAGCAGAGCUCCUGCUGCUGGCACAACUAGGAAGGAUCAAGUUCCUUCCUCUCUUUGCUACUAGUUCGUUUACUCACUUCCUGUGACACUUGCUCGUCAGUCUAUGUGGAGGAGAAAAACAGCUUCCAAACUGCUGCAGAAAGGAGGCAUCCUCACCCCAGACGCCUCUUCAAGGUCACCCCUGGUAAUUCCGCAUUAGGCACUCUCUCCCCGCUCCUUUGCUCCCGCUCAGACAGACCUCCUGGCACUGCUUGGUCUUCUCCCCUACUAUGAGCGGAAUCAAAAUGUCUCCCUGAAAAAGAUGAAAACUCAAACGUAUCUGAUAAAUACCUUGGCAAAAGAGCUUUAACAAAAAUGAUUUCACGUGGGACACUGGGAGUGCAUCACCUAUUAGGAUAAACUAAGCUUUGGGAUAUAACACUGGUAUUUGCCCUGUGACUUGUAAGGAAAAGCUCUUUUUAGCAGGUUAGUCAACAGGGGUGAUCGCAUGACUUCUGUUUUGAGUAAGUUGGCAACUGUCUAAAAUAGUCAUCCUUAUUUAUUUAUAUUGAAAUUAUUUUUUGUUCUAGAUUAGUGGCUCUCUUCUGAAGAGCCUCUUGAUGUGACAGACUAUUUUCUUAGGCUCCAAAAUCACUGCAGAUGGUGACUGAAGCCAUGAAAUUAAAAGACACACUUGCUCCUUGAAAGAAAAGCUAUGACUAACCUAGAUAGCAUAUUAAAAAGCAGAGACAUUAUGUUGCUGACAAAGGUCCAUCUAGUCCAAGCUAUGGUUUUUCCAGUAGUCGUGUAUGGAUGUGAGAGCUGGACCAUAAAGAAAGCUAAGUACCAAAGAAUUAAUGCUUUUGAACUAUGGUGUUGGAGAAGACUCUUGAGAGUCCUUUGGACUGCAAGGAGAUCGAACCAGUCAAGCCUAAAGGAACACAGUCCUGAAUAUUCAUUGGAAGGACCGAUGAUGAAGCUGAAACUCCAAUCCUUUGGCCACCUGAGGUGAAGAACUGACUCACUGGAAAAGACCCUGAUGCUAGGAAAGACUGAAGGGGACGACAGAGGAAGAGAUGGUUGGAUGGCAUCACCAACUCAAUGUCUGAGUAAGCUCAAGGAGCUGGUGGUGGACAGGGAAGCUUGGUGUGCUGCAGUCCAUGGGGGUUGCAGAGAGUCGGACAUGACUGAGUGACUGAACUGAGUGGCUUGCUUACUUGACCUUUAUACUCUUAAAAAUUGAGAACCCCAAAGAACAUGUGUUUAUGAGGAUUAUGUCUAUCAACAUUUAUUGUAUUAGAAAUUAAAACUGAAAACAAUGUAAUACAGUCAUACACUUCA
Long non-coding RNA from Dama dama (fallow deer), 1603 nucleotides. RefSeq lists it as uncharacterized. NCBI's taxonomy places the organism in Eukaryota, Metazoa, Chordata, Mammalia, Artiodactyla, Cervidae. The record is from RefSeq and is a predicted model, not a curated record. The transcript is spliced from 2 exons.